UCCCUACGGGACGCAGCAGUGGGGAAUAUUGCACAAUGGGGGAAACCCUGAUGCAGCGACGCCGCGUGAGUGAAGAAGUAUUUCGGUAUGUAAAGCUCUAUCAGCAGGGAAGAAAAUGACGGUACCUGACUAAGAAGCCCCGGCUAACUACGUGCCAGCAGCCGCGGUAAUACGUAGGGGGCAAGCGUUAUCCGGAUUUACUGGGUGUAAAGGGAGCGUAGACGGCAUGGCAAGUCAGAUGGGAAAGCCCGGGGCUCAACCCCGGGACUGCAUUUGAAACUGAGUUUCUUGAGUGCUGGAGCGGG
Molecule: ribosomal RNA, 305 nt
Filed under: uncultured bacterium
Lineage: Bacteria
Description: bacterial SSU rRNA
Rfam family: Bacterial small subunit ribosomal RNA
Source: RNAcentral